AUACUUCCUCAGGCAGCACGUCAACUAAAAUUGGAGCAAUACAGAGUAGAUUGGCAUGGCCCUGCUCAAGGAUAUCAUAGAAAAUCAUGUAAGCGCUCCUCUUUUUU
Small nuclear RNA from Erpetoichthys calabaricus (reedfish), 107 nucleotides. Lineage: Eukaryota; Metazoa; Chordata; Cladistia; Polypteriformes; Polypteridae. The record is from Ensembl.